This is a long non-coding RNA of Ictalurus punctatus (channel catfish), 950 nucleotides long. The record is from Ensembl. NCBI's taxonomy places the organism in Eukaryota, Metazoa, Chordata, Actinopteri, Siluriformes, Ictaluridae.
GGCGUUUUUCAUGGCGUUUACCUCCUCGUGGGAUUUGAAAACAGCAAUUUCAAAAUCGCAGACAUUGAGCGGAUCGCACGAAAAUGUGUAGACAGAACACAUGCGUGCAAUUUAUUUAUUCAGCUUCAGUAACCACCUUAUCCUAGUUGGAGUCACACUGGAACUGGAGCCUAUACCAGGCCACACUAGAUACCUACAGAUCAGCAUCUCCUGACUGGAAAUGGCCUCCAAGACCCUAACCAGUCUGGCUUCAGAGCGGCAUACGCCAUAGAAUUUACCCUUAUGGUUGUUACGAAGAAGCUUCAUGUCCUCUUCUCCUUGACCUUUCAUCGUCCAAUCACAAGUCUGGGAUUUCCUUGUCUUGAAAUUAGUGGGACAGCAUGGUGAUGGUUCGCUUCUUAUUUGGCAGGACUGUCAUAUCAGGUGGAGAUCCAUGUCUGCUCCAGGCAGACUAUCCAGUGGUGUCCCACAAGGCACAGUACUUGGUCUCAGUGAGGUAAUAUCCUCUCACUGUUUUUCGUACUAAUGCUUCCUUUCCUCCCUUAGAAACUCGCAGAUCUCAGCAUGUUGGGCAGACAUCUUCCCAAGGAUGGGAGCUCAUCACUUGACACUUAAUCCCAGCAAGACUGUGUUGCUGUACAGUCCCUCCAGGAUUUCACGAUUUUGUGACUGCAGGAAUGAAUGCGAAAUGAAGUAAACGUCGCAGGUUUUCUAAUGUACCACAGAUUUUGUGGGUUUUGUGGGCUCACCCUAACCCUUAGAUUUUUGGCUGCAACAAUCACAAAAAACUCUGUGAAAUCCUGCACAGACUGGCUGUACAGUGGUGCUUGAAAGUUUGUGAACCCUUUAGAAUUUUCUAUAUAUCUGCAUAAAUGUGACCUAAAACAUCAUCACAUUUCCACACAAGUCCUAAAAGUAGACAACGAGAACCUAAUUAAACAAGUGAGACA